AGUGAACGCUGGCGGUGGGCCUAACACAUGCAAGUCGAACGGCAGCACAGUAAGAGCUUGCUCUUACGGGUGGGGGGUGGCGGACGGGUGAGGAAUACAUCGGAAUCUACUUUUUCGUGGGGGAUAACGUAGGUAAACUUACGCUAAUACCGCAUACGACCUACGGGUGAAAGCAGGGGAUCUUCGGACCUUGCGCGAUUGAAUGCGCCGAUGUCGGAUUAGCUAGUUGGGGGGGUAAAGGCCCACCAAGGCGACGAUCCGUAGCUGGUCGGAGAGGAUGGUCGGCCACACUGGAACGUAGACACGGACCAGGCUACUACGGGAGGCAGCAGUGGGGUAUGGUAGACAGUAGGCGCGAGUCUUAUCCAACCAGAGCGCGUGUGUGAAGGAGGCCUUCGGGUUGGAAAGCCCGUUUGUUGGGAAAGAAAAGCAGCAGGUUGAGACCCCGCUGUACUGACGGUACCCAAUGAAGAAGCACCGGCUAACUACGUG
Molecule: ribosomal RNA, 492 nt
Filed under: uncultured bacterium
Lineage: Bacteria
Description: partial 16S ribosomal RNA
Rfam family: Bacterial small subunit ribosomal RNA
Source: RNAcentral